Molecule: long non-coding RNA, 5939 nt
Filed under: Equus caballus (horse)
Lineage: Eukaryota; Metazoa; Chordata; Mammalia; Perissodactyla; Equidae
Description: lncRNA (ENSECAG00000054911.1)
Source: RNAcentral
GUGUCGGCCUUCUGUGCAGCCCUCCUUCAGGGCUCCGGCCACCACAGUGACAGUUGGUGCUAGCGGUCUGCUCCCCUGCUAGGCCAUGAGCUCCACAUGGAGGUCUCUCUGUCUUCCCGUGCUUGUCUCUAAGGUCCCCCUGUAAGGACCCUCUAAGGUCACAUGACAAGCCCGCUCUCCGGCACCCACCUUGUGGGCCUCAUGCUUACAAAGUGAGUCCUAAACCUAGAGCUGCGAGAGAACAACCACAUCUGCGACUGAUGGAGCCCGGCGGCUCCGCUGAGCCGAGAAGCCAGGAAAGGCGGGUUUCCAAGACAGAACCACCUACGCCUGUCACUCUUUUUCCUGAAAAUGUCCCAUGUUCAAAUAUCUUUUCCAAAAAAAGCAGACUCUUUUCACCUUGGAACCUCAGCACUUGUGAUCCCUAAAAUCAUGCACCCGUAAUAUUUAUGUAACUGUAUUCACGUGACACGUGAAUGCUUUCAAAGCUGCCUAGUGCGUUUAGAGGCAGAGAACGUAUAUGUGUCGAGGGGCAGUAGGAGGAAGAAGUGAUGAACUGUGUGCCUGGUCUGUCUGCAGCUCAGCAGUCUAAGAAAAGCUGAGGGAUGGACAGUGACAGCUCAGGGGUCACAUAGCCUGGGCCUCAGCUCUCCCAUGUGAACAGGAUUUUCACUACCUCCUAGAUGGCAAAGCCAGGCCAGUGCAGAGGUAGAUGUUGGCUCAGUAUAGAGACAAGCUUUCAAAUGAUUAGAGCUGUGACCUCGAGAGGUGGUGAGCGCCCUGUCCCUGGAGGUAGACAAGCAGAGACUAAAAGACCAUUUGUGAGGGAUACUGUGAGACAGGCAGAGAGUGUCGAGGGGCAGUAGGAAGUCCUCUUGGAGGAUCUCAGAGGCCCAGGAGUCUUGUGUCUCCAUCCUUUUGAAACAUUUUGUCCUCACUGAGGUCACGAUGCUUGCCAGGCCCUCUGCGACCGGAUGCAGAGUCUUGGAAGGUGGGAGCGGGAAGGGGCCUGCAAAAGUGUGGCUUCCCACCUCAGAUGGCAAGAGCAGCACAAACUGCACCAGCGGUUGCCUCUCGUUGCGCUGUCCUUGGGUGCCCGGCGUGGAGGGAGGACUACACGUCACCUCCUCUCAAAGGGCGGCAUCAGAGAGUUGUGCUUAAGAACCUGGUUCUGGAGCCCGGCUGUCUGGGUCCCACUCCUGACUUGGGGAGUGGGGUCUCAGGGUCAGACCCUGCAACAACGGUUCCAGGGCAAGUACUUGAUCUGGGAGGUACUGUCAGGGGAGCGGCCUGUGGGGCCGAGGAGGGAAGGAGCCAGUAAAGGGUGUGUGAGCCCUGGGAGACAGCGUGGAGCAGGUCCCAGAGUCUGCUCAAGGGAGGAGCAGAGCAGGGGGACUCGUCCACACCUUGUGGGCUGAGAACUGCUUCCGGGACACUCACUCCCCAGACCCCCGGCUGUUUUAGCCCACCUGCUCCUGCAGCUGUAAAGAGCCCUGAGGUGCAGUCACAGGUGUCCCCGGCCUUUGGCAUGAAAAGAUGGAUCCUGGAGAGAGGUGUGGCAGGGCAGCGACCGUGACCACUACAGCCACUUAGGAGCUGUGUGGCCUCAGGAGUAGCUCUGCCUCUCGGUGCAUCUGCGUCCUCACUUGUCAGGAGCCUACCUGACUUCAGUGAAGGUAGAGGGUUCUGAGCUGCCUGACGCAUUGUCAAGCAUGUGGGGGUCCCGGAUCCAUGAGGGUGUCCUGUUCUGUCCCCUUUCACAGAGGAGGAAGGCAAGGACAGAGUGGCUGGGCCUUAAGCACACCGCAACACAGCACGAGGGGCAGAGAUGGGCCCAUCUGACGGGGGGCCCACGCCCGCAGGACUCCCUGUCCAGUGCUCUCCUGGGGGUGGAUCAAAGCAGCCACGUUCUCCAGGAGCACUUCCUCUGGCUCCCUAUUGCCCUCUGCCCCUGAGCGGUGUUGCCGGCAGUGACUGCAGCAUUGAUCCAUCCUUGGCAGCGCCCCGCCCCGAGUCCCUCUGAAACCUUUUUAGCACCGCUCUGUGGCAGGUGGCAGCUAGAGGAUCCCCAGGGCACAGGCCCAGCAGCAUUCAGCAGGAGGAGCCAGAAGACGAAGAGACCUCCAGGGCCCCACCCACCCAGCCCACCCCAGCGUGGAGAGAGUCAGGGCUGCUGGAGAGCGCACUCUGCCUGUGCUGUGACUGUCCCACCCAUGCGGGCGCUGGGCUGCUGUUGGUGUCCUCUGUGCCUGGAUGUCGCCUAGAACGCCUGGAAGCAGACUCCCUGAGCCCCUGUCACUCGGCACCGAGGAGGCAGGUCCUGCAGAACAGACACGGCUCCCAAGCUGCUCACACGAGGGCCCCUCGCUCAGCCACCUUUCUCAGCCCUCACUGUGUGUGCCCUGCCCCGUGCCCCCAACACGCAGCAUGGGGUGCACAGGCUGUGCAGCCAGCAGUGCCCGAAAGCCCCCUGGGCCACCAGGCUGGGGAUCGACUGAGCAAAGGGGUGGGUUGGGGAUGACGUGGGAAAAUGCAUGGGAGGUGCUUCCUCAGCACGAUGUCCAGCCGCGCAGGCCCUGGAGAAGCCUUACCUGACAGUCUGACCCUCAUGAAUGCGCAGCAAGGCCAAAGCCAGCACCCUGUGCGGACGCCUGAGGCAGGAGAGCUCAGCUCUGAGGGACCGGGCCCAGAGCCCGGAGGUUUGAUGGGGGCGCUGUGAGCCUUACCCAAGGCCAGGGAGGAGGAGCCCUCCUUCCAGACAGUUCCAUCAGCCGUGGGAGUGAUGGUCAUCAUCGUCACCAUCAUCAUCGUCAAGCCCGUGGACUGCUUACUGGUGCCGCCCCAACUUGGAUAAUUCACUGAGUCCUCCCAGCCCCUCUAUGAUGCCUCCUCUCGUUUUAUAGGCAAGGAAACAGAGGCCCAGAGAGGUUCAUUAACCUACCCAAGGUCACACAGCCAGCGAGUGGUAAAACCCCAGUAAAGCUGGGGUUUGUGAGGGCUCCAAGCUUUGUGUGCCUGUGCACAGGCCGACUGCCCCCUGAGUCCCCACCUCCACUGGGACAGGACCCACAAGCUCUCCAAGUCCUCUCCCAGUGGCACCUUCUGGAACUGCAGGCUAUUGCAGUUGAGUCACCUCCGUCACUCCAAGGACAAGCUUGUCCCGGCCGGGUUAAUGCUCCAGCUCAUCUGCUGACCUCCUUCAGAGGGCCUCGUCACCCACCUUCCCGUGAGCCCAGUCCUCAGGAGGCCCCAAGUUGACACACCACAUGCCCUGAUUGCGUCUGAGAUUGUCUGCUUCCUGGUGCCAGCACAGAGGAAAAUGAACAGAUGAGUCUGACACUCAGCCUGGGAGAGGAUGAUGCCCAGGAGCAGCGGGGGUGGGCAGCCUCAUCUGGAGGGCAGGGGCCCCUGGGGCGGGCAGCCCCUAUGUGGAGGGCAGGGGCCCCUGGGGCGGGCAGCCUCAUCAGGAGGGCAGGGGCCCUGGGGCGGGCAGCCCCCAUCUGGAGGGCAGGGGCUUGGGCUUUGUGUACAGUAGGCAUUCAGCAAAUGCCUGUCGAUUUAUUGAAUAAGCAAAGAAGGAAUGUAAGCUUUGGCAGGAACAUGGGCCUUUGGUGACACUUAGGCCUGGGUUAGAAUCCCAACUCUGACACUUGAACAGUUCUCUUACUUUCCUUCCCUGAGCCUCCAUUUCCCCACCUGGCCUCUCAGGGGCGUUGUGGCUGUAAAUGAGAUACCACGUGCUUGCUCCCUGCAGCCCUCGCCCCUGCACCCCUCCUCAUGGGGCGCCCGGGGGCUCCUGGAGCAGAGCCGGGAGUGCCUACAAAUGCCCCUUCCUCCACCCCCACUCCAGGCCCUCAACUAAGGACCGACAAGUGCAGAAGUCUGAGAGGCCAGCUCCCGUCUCAGCUCCCUCUGACGUGGAGCUGAUGCCCUGAGCUUCCUGCAGCGUCAGGCUGAGGCCGGGCUUCUCCUGUACAAACCCCUGGCACACAAAUGCUUGUCUCAGGGCUGCUUCCAGAAUCAGCUGGGCUCGUGUGUGGCUCUCCCCUGGAGCUUGAGCCCUGCCAACAUCGCCAUGGGAGAGGGCCUUCCUCGUCUCCCAGAGCCCUGCCCUUAAUAGGCUCUGAUGAGGACCUGCUGUUCUUAAGGAGGAGCCUGUACCCCCUUCCCAAGGGCACACCGCAGGGCUCUCAUGAAGGAGGAAUGUCAGCAGAGUCCCUGUUGAAAGCAUCUCGUUUCAGAAAUCCAGCUUACUUGCUUUUAGCAAUUGCUAGCAUUAGAGAGUUCCUUGUCCCUCACAAAAUAAGGGAGAAGAAAACUAGGGCUGGAUGCUGAACGAGAGCCUGCUCAUUGCCUGCCCAACAUCCAGUCUCCUCUUCUUGCAAGAUGACCAGGUGAGCAGCUGAGACUACAGUUCCCACUUCCCUGGUAAAUAAGGAUGGCUAAGGAUAUAGAAGUAGGUGUUCUUGGGCUGGACUUCCAGAAAAGCUCCAAAAAAGCUAGUGUGUGCCCUCUUUAUCUUCUUUCUUUUUCUUCCUGCCUGGAAUAUAUACGUGAUGGCUGACACUGUAGAGGCCAUUUUGUGACCUUGAGGAUGGAGCCAAACUCUAAAUCUGGCAGAAGGGAAGGACAGAGGAUUGUGGGUUCCUAAUGAUGCUCUAGAACCACCAUCCUGGUCCUGGGAGCCCCUGCCUUCUGUGACCUGUGAAAACAAACCUUCUGUCUCAGCCACGAUUUUCCAGCGCUCUGCUGCUUGCAGCUGGAUAUAAUUCCUAACUAACACAGAUGUCACCACAGGUCCACAGUUCUGGUCCUAAGUGAGACAACGGGAUUCUCUCCUCCCAGCCCCUCUCUCAACAGGGCCACUUGGUCCUGCUCACAGAGACUCAGCUACAGGAGCAGGUGACCGCUUGACAUCACUAGGAAGCCACACGAGCUCUGGGACCCAGGCCCACUUCAGACAAUGGGAGAAUUCCACCUUUUGGCAUAGGGCCAGAGUGGGGACAGGUGACACCGGGGUAGUUUGUGGUACUGCACAGAAUAGGGAGAAAUGACGGUGAAACACUUGGUCUCAUUUCUCCCUCUGUGGAUCCUACAGUCUCGUUAUAGUAACAAAGAACCAAAGUGCCAAAGCAGCACUAUUCCUAACAGUGGGAGAAAACGGGAAACAACCACACGCCCACGUGCCGUGAAAUGGGCAAGUGCGUUGUGCCGCAUCCCCCGAUGAAGUCCUCUCCAGCGAUGGAAGUGAACCGUCUUCCAGUACACAGCAACACAGAUGGCUCUCCAGGCGUAACGUCCAGCAGAAGUCAGACGUGAAAGAGCAUCCACUGUGCGACUUCAUUUUGAAGCAAAGUUCAAAACCAGGCAAAACUCACCUGUGGGUGGACAGUCGGACAACCAUCACCCUCGGGAAAGGCAGGGAUGGGGUGAAGGGGGCUCUGGGGCGUGGUCACGUUCUGUUUCUUAUGUGGGCUGUAGUCACACAAGUUAUUCGCUUUUCAAGAUUCGUUGAGCUGUAUAAUUAGGAUUUGCACACAUUUCUGUGUGAGUCUUGAACUUAAGACUCAGUGCUGCCAGCACCUGGAGGGGGCGGUACUCCUCACUUUGGCAGAUCAUGGAGCUCAGCACAGGACGAGGCCUCGAGAAGUGUAUUGUGAUGAGCGUGGGAAGUUCAACGGAAGUGCUGGGUGCUCCCUCGCAUCUGGGUUGGCUUUGAGAAGAGGAUUUAACUGAAAAGAAUGACCUUUGCUGUGGGUACUUGAGCUGCUGUGGCAGUAAUUCAGAGGCUCUAAGAGAUGGCUGGCCAGAAGUCCUGCCCCACGGCGAGGGAUGAACAGGCUGUCCUCCUGGCUUCUCUGAGACGGCCCCGGGUCUGGGGAAGGCCUGUGCUCCAGCGUGUUUGGGACUGGUCCCCAUGGACAGAAACACUGACGGUC